Molecule: ribosomal RNA, 449 nt
Filed under: uncultured bacterium
Lineage: Bacteria
Description: partial 16S ribosomal RNA
Rfam family: Bacterial small subunit ribosomal RNA
Source: RNAcentral
AACGAACGCUGGCGGCAUGCCUAACACAUGCAAGUCGAACGAGAUCUUCGGGUCUAGUGGCGCACGGGUGCGUAACGCGUGGGAAUCUGCCCUUUGCUACGGAAUAACUCAGAGAAAUUUGUGCUAAUACCGUAUAAUGUCGAAAGACCAAAGAUUUAUCGGCAAAGGAUGAGCCCGCGUAGGAUUAGCUAGUUGGUGAGGUAAAGGCUCACCAAGGCGACGAUCCUUAGCUGGUCUGAGAGGAUGAUCAGCCACACUGGGACUGAGACACGGCCCAGACUCCUACGGGAGGCAGCAGUGGGGAAUAUUGGACAAUGGGCGAAAGCCUGAUCCAGCAAUGCCGCGUGAGUGAUGAAGGCCUUAGGGUUGUAAAGCUCUUUUACCAGGGAUGAUAAUGACAGUACCUGGAGAAUAAGCUCCGGCUAACUCCGUGCCAGCAGCCGCCGUAA